This is a ribosomal RNA of 1024 nucleotides. It matches the Rfam family "Bacterial large subunit ribosomal RNA", at positions 100 to 1118 of the family's 2925-position model.
UGAUCCAGAGAUUUCCGAAUGGGGGAACCCACUAUCUUUAGUCGGAUAGUAUCCUUACGUGAAUACAUAGCGUGAGGAAGGCAGACCCAGGGAACUGAAACAUCUAAGUACCUGGAGGAAGAGAAAGAAAAAUCGAUUUCCUGAGUAGCGGCGAGCGAAACGGAAAGAGCCCAAACCAAGAAGCUUGCUUCUUGGGGUUGUAGGACACUCUAUACGGAGUUACAAAAGAAAGUUAUAAAUGAAGCGGUCUGGAAAGGCCCGCCAAAGACGGUAACAGCCCGGUAGUUGAAAUGGCUUUCCCUCCAGAGUGGAUCCUGAGUACGGCGGAACACGUGAAAUUCCGUCGGAAUCCGGGAGGACCAUCUCCCAAGGCUAAAUACUCCCUAGUGACCGAUAGUGAACCAGUACCGUGAGGGAAAGGUGAAAAGCACCCCGGAAGGGGAGUGAAACAGUUCCUGAAACCGUGUGCCUACAAGUAGUUAGAGCCCGUUAAUGGGUGAUAGCGUGCCUUUUGUAGAAUGAACCGGCGAGUUACGAUUUGUUGCAAGGUUAAGCGGAAAAAGCGGAGCCGUAGCGAAAGCGAGUCUGAAUAGGGCGAAUAAGUAACAGGUCGUAGACCCGAAACCAGGUGAUCUACCCAUGUCCAGGAUGAAGGUAAGGUAAUACUUACUGGAGGUCCGAACCCACGCACGUUGAAAAGUGCGGGGAUGAGGUGUGGGUAGCGGAGAAAUUCCAAUCGAACUUGGAGAUAGCUGGUUCUCUCCGAAAUAGCUUUAGGGCUAGCCUCGAGGUAAAGAGUCAUGGAGGUAGAGCACUGUUUGGACUAGGGGCCCUUCUCGGGUUACCGAAUUCAGAUAAACUCCGAAUGCCAUGUACUUAUACUCGGGAGUCAGACUGCGAGUGAUAAGAUCCGUAGUCGAAAGGGAAACAGCCCAGACCACCAGUUAAGGUCCCCAAAUAUAUGUUAAGUGGAAAAGGAUGUGGGGUUGCUUAGACAACCAGGAUGUUGGCUUAGAAGCAGCCA